This 407-nucleotide ribosomal RNA is filed under the name uncultured bacterium. Its description in RNAcentral is "partial 16S ribosomal RNA". It matches the Rfam family "Bacterial small subunit ribosomal RNA", at positions 30 to 526 of the family's 1533-position model. The record is from RNAcentral.
AUUGAACGCUGGCGGCAGGCCUAACACAUGCAAGUCGAGCGGAGCGGCGGACGGGUGAGUAAUGCCUAGGAAUCUGCCUGGUAGUGGGGGAUAACGUCCGGAAACGGGCGCUAAUACCGCGUACUAUCAGAUGAGCCUAGGUCGGAUUAGCUAGUUGGUGGGGUAAAGGCCUACCAAGGCGACGAUCCGGAACUGGUCUGAGAGGAUGAGCAGUCACACGGGCACCGAGACACGUGCCAGACGCCUACGUGAGCCAUCAGUGGGUAAUAUUGGACAAUGGGCGAAAGCCUGGUCCAGCCCUGCCGCGUGUGUGAAGAAGGUCUUCGGAUUGUAAAGCCCUUUAAGUUGGGAGGCGUUACCAACAGAAUAAGCACCGGCUAACUUCGUGCCAGCAGCCGCGGUAAUUC